This 157-nucleotide ribosomal RNA is filed under the name Pseudocosmospora vilior. RNAcentral's name for it is "5.8S ribosomal RNA". It matches the Rfam family "5.8S ribosomal RNA". Rfam says of the family: 5.8S ribosomal RNA (5.8S rRNA) is a component of the large subunit of the eukaryotic ribosome. It is transcribed by RNA polymerase I as part of the 45S precursor that also contains 18S and 28S rRNA. RNAcentral also lists the same sequence under 3 other names. Lineage: Eukaryota; Fungi; Ascomycota; Sordariomycetes; Hypocreales; Nectriaceae. The record is from RNAcentral.
AAACUUUCAACAACGGAUCUCUUGGUUCUGGCAUCGAUGAAGAACGCAGCGAAAUGCGAUAAGUAAUGUGAAUUGCAGAAUUCCGUGAAUCAUCGAAUCUUUGAACGCACAUUGCGCCCGCCAGUAUUCUGGCGGGCAUGCCUGUUCGAGCGUCAUU